CGAAGCACUGUGGAAAGAGACUCGGUCAAUUGAAACUUGACUAGUGGCGGACGGGUGAGUAAUGCAUGAGCAACCUGCCCUGGAGAGGGGGACAACAGCUGGAAACGGCUGCUAAUACCGCAUCGAAGUCACCGGAAGGCAUCUUCUGGUGACCAAAGAUUUAUCGCUCUGGGAUGGGCUCAUGUCUGAUUAGUUAGUUGGCGGGGCAACGGCCCACCAAGACUUCGAUCAGUAGCCGGACUGAGAGGUUGAACGGCCACAUUGGGACUGAGAUACGGCCCAGACUCCUACGGGAGGCAGCAGGUGGGGAAUAUUGGGCAAUGGGCGCAAGCCCUGACCCAGCAACGCCGCGUGAAGGAAGAAGGUCGUUUCGGGUUAGUAAACUUCUUUUAUCAGGGACGAAGAAAGUGACGGUACCUGAUGAAUAAGCCACGGCUAACUACGUGCCAGCAGCCGC
RNAcentral lists this ribosomal RNA (457 nucleotides) under uncultured bacterium. RNAcentral describes it as "bacterial SSU rRNA". It matches the Rfam family "Bacterial small subunit ribosomal RNA", at positions 63 to 518 of the family's 1533-position model. The record is from RNAcentral.